AUGACUUUGAUCUGCGUCCUCAUCUGGACUCUCCUCUGCUGCUGCUUCACAGAGUCCAGAGGACAGAUCACAGUGACUCAGCCUGGAGCAGUGAGCUCUGCUGUGGGAGGAUCUGUGAGCAUCAACUGUAGGACCAGUCAGAAUGCUUAUAGCAACAACCAUUUAGCCUGGUACCAACAGAAAGAUGGAGGAGUUCCUAAACUGCUCAUUUACCUUGCUAGCACUCGAGAAUCAGGGAUUCCAGGCUGAAGAUCCAGCAGUUUAUUAUAGUAAGAGUG
This is a non-coding RNA of Archocentrus centrarchus (flier cichlid), 278 nucleotides long. NCBI's taxonomy places the organism in Eukaryota, Metazoa, Chordata, Actinopteri, Cichliformes, Cichlidae. The record is from the annotation of a RefSeq genome assembly.